Molecule: long non-coding RNA, 1340 nt
Organism: Psammomys obesus (fat sand rat)
Lineage: Eukaryota; Metazoa; Chordata; Mammalia; Rodentia; Muridae
Exons: 5
Source: RefSeq, a predicted model, not a curated record
CGUAAUACAGGAGAAACCUCUCAGAAUAGACACACAUAUAACGGUGAUCUAAAUGAAAUAGAUCACAAAUAACGGGGGAGGCCGAGCCCCGGCCGGACAUCUCCCGACACUAAAUGAAGCUUUGGGUUCUGGGAACCGGCUGCAGAUAAUUGAGUUGUUGGGGAAAGGGCCCCAUUUUAACCCACAAACAACCCAGAGUGCUGCCAAGGUUAUCAGCUGCUCUCUCCAAAGCGACGCGGCCCCGCUGCCGAGGAAACACCUGCACACCUCAGCAACCGCGGGGGCCGGGCUGGGGCCGCCUCCGGCCUCCCCUGCGGACCAGGGUCUGCCGUGCCGGGAGCAGCCGGGCUGCACGACGCGCCCCUCGGAGGAGUAGCGCCGCACAGCGCGCGGCGGUCGCCACCCAGUAGCCCAUGGAAACUGGCUGACUACCGCGAGCGCACUCCGCGAGGGGCCUCGCCCGAGACCGCCCUGGUGGCCGAGAGCCCGGAGAACAGAGCAGCCCAGGUCUGCGCCAGUUCACCCAACGAUUCCGUCACCACCGAAGCUUCCUCCGCCAAGAGGCGGGACCAGACACCCUCAGCGGACGGCGGACAGCGCGCGCAGAGUGGGGACCUUCCACGCUGAUUGCUAGAGAGAGAGAAACCCGGGCUUAUUGGACACACCUGGAAUCCCAGCUCUGGGUAGGUAGAAACAAGCGGAUUCCUGGGAUCCCGGAGUCAGCCCGCUAGUCUAGCCUACCUGGCAUACUCCUGGUCUUCGUUUGUAAGGUAUUGUGGGGUCGUCUGUAGAAUGGCUCCAAGGCAAACCCAUCCUGUGGAGGUGACUUGGAAGUACUGAGUGUGAGAGCUCAGGCUGAGAGGCUGGAGUCGGCCAAGGCGGCUGCCUCUAGGUCAGCUAUGACAGCAUUCAUCAUAGUACAAACACAGGUUCACGCCGCACAUGUGGAGAAAAGAGCAACUCAUCAGCCCUUUGCGGCGUCCAGACUCCAUCCGUCAUUCCUUAGGCCUGCGCACUGUAAGCAGAGCUGUCCCCCUUCUGGGUGAGCCCGUCGCCCGGAAGCCUUAGCUUGAAGAUGAGACUGGCCGCCCUCUCUGAGGCAGCAGCCUUCACAGUCACCGGGACGCUCCCGUGAGAGACACGCAGGCCCAGAAAUGAAAGAACCUAGCGCUCCAUCCUGAGAGGCAGUGUCGCACCAGCUGAACAGCAGUGUGCUAGGGAUAAAAUCUAAGGCCACAUCCGCGCUAAGCAACACUCCCCCAAGACUCUCCAAACCCUGUUAACACGUGGUUAGUAAACGGCUAAGAAUGGCACUUGUAUACUUUUCAUUGAUCAAAAAA